CCACCACUAUUACUCUUUAUUUUUGUCAUUUCUACUAUUGCUACUAUUAUUACUGUUAUUGAUAUUGUUCUUGUAACGCUUAAUUCAAGUCCGUUAUUAUUAUUUUUGUUGUUAUUAUCGUUAUUAUUAUUAUUGCUAUUAUUAUUAUUAUUGUUAAUAUUGUUAUUAGUAUUAUUUCAGUUAUUAUUACUGUUAUUUUUUUCUAUUAUUAUUAUUAUUAUUAUUAUUAUUAUUAUUAUUAUUAUUGUUUUUAUUAUUAUUAUUAUUAUUAUUAUUAUUAUUAUUAUUAUUAUUAUUAUUGCCAUAAUUUCUGUUACUACUACUACUACUGCCACUGCUGUUACCAAUGAUAUUAAUGAUAAGGAUAAUGAACUACUGCUGCUGCUAGGUCUUAACAGUUACUCUUGUCCAUGCUGCUAUUAAUGCUAUAACUACCACCACUACUCCUGUCAUUGUUACUACUACUAUUGAUGCUAUUAUUAUUAUUAUUAUUAUUAUUACUGUUAUUACCACCACUACUACUGCUAUUUAUACUUCUACUAUUACUACUGUUGUUGGUACAGCAGUUUUAUUUAUUUAUUUUAUUGUAUUUUCUUUAUUGUUAUUAUUAUUUUUGUUUUAUUGUGAUAUAUCUUUAUUUCUGUUGAAAUUGUUGUUAUUAUUAUUAUUAUUAUUAUUAUUAUUAUUAUCAUUAUUAUCAUCAUUAUUUAUGUUAUUAUUGUCAUUAUUAAUUUUGGUGUUGUUUGUAUUAUUUUUGUUUGUCAUUUAUCAUUAUUAUUAUUAUUAUUAAUAUCAUUAUCAUUAUUAUUAUUUCUGGUGUUAUUACAUUUUUUAUUAAAAAUCUUUUCAUGACUAUCACUGAGGUUGUUGUUGUUUUUUAUUAUUAUUAUUAUCAUUAAAGUUAUUAUUAUUAUUAUUAUUAUAUUAAUUAUUAUUAUUAAGGCAAAGUCAGGAAUCGGAGAAUUGAAUGAAAGGUGAUGGUAGUGAAAGCCGUUUCAAUGAAAGGCUAGUAUACGCACGCUCUCUAAUAGUUGUCCUUACUGCAGAAACCGAGUCCAAACACAACUGCAGCUUAUACGUGUGAUUUUGGUCAAAUUUUUGCCGUGUUGAAUUUAAAGUCCGAGCUGCAAAGAAUAAUGUAUAACUACAUAUAUAUGCACAUACCAAACAUAUAUAUGUUUUAUGUGAUCACGUGUAAUGUUGUACACAAGGUUUUUCUCAAAUCACUUAGUAUUCCUUUGCGUUUUAUGAAAUUGGAAUGCAGUUUGAACAUUUAGUAUGACGUUGGAACUUGUUAUGCUUGUUAGGGCAACAGGGAGUAACCACGUUGAAUGGAACCAAGGUUGGGUUGUGGUGAAGAACCAAUUUACGAGUUGGGAGAAGCCAAGGUUGGGUUGUGGUGAAGAACCAAUUCGCGAGUUGAGAGAAGCCAAGGUUGCGCAAUGUUUUGCAUCCCGUGAUGAAUCUAUGUAUAUGUAUCCAAGGAGUUAAACUUCACUGUUGACCAAAGGAAUCAGCCUUGCACAAGGAUAUGCACUUAGCACACACACACACACUGUGUGAUAGCAGUCUUUCCAGCUUAAUGCUCAUCAUAUUCUCCAUCUGCAUGCCAAUGAUGUAUUUCAGUAUUAAUAAAUUAGUGGUCAGUUCUUGACGUAACAUAGGUUAAGCAGAUAUUGAAUUUGCAUCAUCAGAUUUAGUCAGUUGAAUACUGUAUUACAAGUUGCAAAUAAUGUGUUCCAACAUUAUGAUAUUGUACUGCUGAUUAGACAUAACUUUUAGUUCUAAGUCAUGAAGCUUUUAGGAUAAGAGUUUUUUUUUUUUCUUUUUUCUUUUUCUUUUUUAUAUAUACAUUUGACCAAUGCAUAAGCAGGAUAAUUAGAGAUAGAUAGAUGCAAUCAAAUUUAUUUUGGGUCUGACUUUACUCAUGUUGCUGUUUGUACUUAAUUGAGGUUGCUCUUUGGUAGGAGUUUGCUAGAUGAUUAAAGCUGAUUUUGCAAACUUAGAGUCAGAGGCUCACUUGUAGCAGUAAACUCUGCUUUAGUUAAGCAAAUUAGUAAAGAGGUCCAGGGUGGAGUCCAAGCAUGUUUCGCCGGCGAUUUUGUGUGCGAACUAACCCUCCAGAGUCAUGCACAGCCAUGAGAUUAGCAGAAAGUGAAGCAAGUCAAGUGGCUGGCCAAAGUCUUUCAGCAUGUGACUUGGCUGUGUCGUCAUGUAAAGGCCCGUCCUCACCAGUGGACAUGAUCGGCAGACACACGGGCAGGCAGGGACAUCACAGGUGGGGUACAAAAGGGGAACUACUUGUUUCCCGAGUAAUUUGCCCUCCCAUGAUUUCAUCUCUGCUUGAGCCCUGCGAUGUGCCCACCAAUCAUGCCUGCUUGUGUGGAUAGGUCUUCGCACAGUCGUGUGAGAUGCUUGCAAAUGUGGUAUGUAUUGUCUUGUUUUUAACAUUGGCUUUAAUCCAUUAACAACAGCUGACGUGCUAUCAUGUCUCAGUGAAAAGGUAUAGAUAACAGACGGAACCUCUUCAUCUGUGUCCCAGUCAAAGGGUUACCUCAUGCAUGCCCUCCCACAGGCCAGUCAACCUACCCAGGGGCAAAGCACUGCACACAUGAAUGCCCUUUCUCACCUAGCUUUACCAAAAUUUUACCCGUUGUCAUUUGGUUAAAAUUACGGCGUACAGCUUGAGAUCGGCCGGCGAAGCUCUAGCUUAUAUCAUGCUUGAAAUCCACCCUGGAAUAACUUUAUGCUUGACACCUUUAUAAUUGUGAUAGAGUGAAACAAAUCCUGCCUAACGUAUUCUACCUAUAUUGAGUCGUUUCGAUCCAUUGAUUUUAAGAAACAGGUUUUUGUUUCUGAAGGAUGCAUUUUAAUUAUUAUGUGCAAGACUAAAUUUUUUUGUAUUUUAGUUCAGAUUUGUAAAAAAGAAAUUUGAUUGUGGAUUACUUGCUCAGAAGCAUAUUAGUUUUUUUUUUUGUUUUUUUUUUAGCCGUUAUAUUUAUCUCUAUCUUUCUGUCUCGUUAUUUCCCUCUUCCAUAAAUGUAUAUGCUUCUAAAUGCACAUACAUGAAUUGCAUAAGAGAUUUGUUAUGGAAACAACUUCCAUUUCUCUAACAAUUUUGUUUGUUUGUUUGUUUAUGUAUGAAAUCCAUAUAUAUUUGUGAGAUGCAGGUUUGACAGUAUAUGAUACCACCUGCCUCUUGUGCUCUUGUUAUAUAGGCUUUAAGAGUGUCAGACAAUACAUACAUAUGAUUAUGCCUUUGAUGCAGCAUCCUGUAUUAUGUUGAAUGACAAUAGCAGAACCUAUUCUAUGUAAGCCAGUCUUUGCAUAUCAGCCAUUCACCCUCCAGGAUUGUGCUAUGAAGUCUUUCACGCAUAUAUUAGAAUAGCUUGCAGUAGAUCAUUCCCAGAUCUGUGAGAUUUUUCCCCUCUGUUUCCCGUGACGCCGAAAGUUGGUCUGUAAUUCAAAAAGGCUUUAAGGUAAUUUGAUUGAUCUUGAAACUUGUAAACUUGUCCAUGUAGCCUCCCAACUUAACAGUAUACUCAUUAUAGGCCAUAUCAGGAUCAGCCUUCUGUUAUCGUCCAUUUUAUCGUUUUUCUUUUCUUUUUUAAUGCGAAAAUUUUGGGGAGUUUGUCCUGUGUUGUGGGGUAAGAUCCAUUCAGUUUUACUCUUCUCUUUAAUGUGAUUGUUGAUUAGAUUAUUUUAAUUCUAAUAGUAAUGAGUUUGUAGAAAUGAAAGUUAUCAAAAUUAUCGACCCGUUUUCUUAUUUGAUUUAUACUUUGUAAUUGUACUUUCAAAAUUCUUCAAAUGUAAAGAAGUUGUUUGCAAAAUGUCCACAAAAUCUAUAUAUACCUUUUUUAAGGUGAGGAAAAAGAACAUUUCAGAAAGCUGAUUCUAUACUGAUAAGGCUUUUAUUUCAAUACACUUUUAACUUGCUCAGAGGAAUUCAGUUGAGCAUUUUUCAUUAUUGUGUAUUAACAUGUUUUGAAAUGUUUGAGUUAUUUGGGGGAAAAGAUCUACAUUGUUAAAAAGGUUUUAAUGUAAACUAUUCAUGUAAUUUUGAUGAAGGACAAUCAAAUGACAAUUUGCUGUUACAUUCCAUUUUUAUUUGUCACCACCACAUUGUAAUACAUUUGUAUUUAAAAUUGUAGAUUAUAAUGUAUUACUUUUUUACCAUUUGCCUAUAACAGGCAUUAUUGAUAAUCAAUAAUGAGAUAUGAUAGGAAACAACUUGUGUAUUUUUAUGAAGUUAAUUUAUGUAUUUCUAUGAGAUAAUAUACAGCACAAUGAUA
Molecule: long non-coding RNA, 4292 nt
Organism: Penaeus indicus
Lineage: Eukaryota; Metazoa; Arthropoda; Malacostraca; Decapoda; Penaeidae
Exons: 2
Source: RefSeq, a predicted model, not a curated record